RNAcentral lists this ribosomal RNA (467 nucleotides) under uncultured bacterium. RNAcentral describes it as "partial 16S ribosomal RNA". It matches the Rfam family "Bacterial small subunit ribosomal RNA", at positions 28 to 507 of the family's 1533-position model. The record is from RNAcentral.
GAUGAACGCUGGCGGCGUGCUUAACACAUGCAAGUCGAACGGAAAGGCCCAAGCUUGCUUGGGUACUCGAGUGGCGAACGGGUGAGUAACACGUGGGUGAUCUGCCCUGCACUUCGGGAUAAGCCUGGGAAACUGGGUCUAAUACCGGAUAGGACCACGUCUUGGAUGUUGUGGUGGAAAGUUUUUUCGGUGUGGGAUGAGCUCGCGGGCUAUCAGCUUGUUGGUGGGGUAAUGGCCUACCAAGGCGUCGACGGGUAGCCGGCCUGAGAGGGUGUACGGCCACAUUGGGACUGAGAUACGGCCCAGACUCCUACGGGAGGCAGCAGUGGGGAAUAUUGCACAAUGGGCGCAAGCCUGAUGCAGCGACGCCGCGUGGGGGAUGACGGCCUUCGGGUUGUAAACUCCUUUCGCUAGGGACGAAGCGUUUUGUGACGGUACCUGGAGAAGAAGCACCGGCUAACUACGUG